GCCCCGUUAGCUCAAUUGGUCAGAGCAUCUGACUCUUAAUCAGAGGGUUCUAGGUUCGAGUCCUAGACGGGGCA
This 74-nucleotide transfer RNA is filed under the name Planctomycetaceae bacterium. Its description in RNAcentral is "tRNA-Lys". It matches the Rfam family "tRNA". From Rfam's summary of the family: Transfer RNA (tRNA) molecules are approximately 80 nucleotides in length. Their secondary structure includes four short double-helical elements and three loops (D, anti-codon, and T loops). Lineage: Bacteria; Pseudomonadati; Planctomycetota; Planctomycetia; Planctomycetales; Planctomycetaceae. RNAcentral also lists the same sequence under 2 other names. The record is from RNAcentral.